Chelonia mydas (Green sea turtle) is the source of this 1732-nucleotide long non-coding RNA. RefSeq lists it as uncharacterized. Lineage: Eukaryota; Metazoa; Chordata; Testudines; Cheloniidae. The transcript is spliced from 3 exons. The record is from RefSeq and is a predicted model, not a curated record.
AGGAAUCCAGUGUAAUACAAGAAGAGAGUCGUUUACAGGCUAUCGAGACAGCUUCCUCCCACAUACUACCAAGACCUAGCAGGGAGACAAGUGAGUGCAGAAGUGAGGCAUUUUCCCUGCUCUUUGUACGAGACCGGUGCCCAGACUUGGCAUGGCCUAGAGGAGCCAAAGUCACAGCUUUCCAGGACAGAUUUCCCUCAUGCUUUUCCCAUGGUUGAGACGCUCGUAGAAUGCGUCCACACCCUGGUCGAAGGUGCGUUCAAAGACCAGGGCCCCCAGAACGAUGGUGAGGGCAAAGGUGGAGGUGCGGCAGAAGAGCACACUGUACAGCCGGGAGCACAGCGGUACGGUGGCCUCCUCCGGCAACACCAGAUGUACUGUAGCAUAACUGGUACUGCACAGGCCUACUGUACAAGCUGCAGAGAACCCAGCCACCAGAUGCAUCCAAUGGUAGUAAAAGUCUUAUGGGGGCCUCUGCAGUCCCCACACCACUCCUGUAGUGGAGCUCAGUUACUGUGGUGAGCCAAGGGGAAUGCAGAUCCCAGUCUGAGUUUGCAUGUAGGAAAAGUAUCAUCUUAAUCCUAAACUGAGAACAUCUGAUACAGAAUUGAUGUAAGCAGAGAGAUGCAACCGACAGGGUGAAAUUCACACCCCAUCAGCCCCUCCACCUCAGUUACACAGAUACAGUGGUCCCAAUACCCUGUGAAAAAGUGGAUCCACAGCCCCUCCCCAGAUUGCCAUGGACCAUUUGCAGUUUGUCCCAAACUGACCUUCUAUGCCAAUCCUGUGUGGGCCAUUCCAGAGGGCAUCUCCAUGGUGUAGGCACCCCUGCAUGGCCACACAGCCAGCUGACCCCCAACUCCGUCUAUUAGGCUUACAUGGUAUGGAGUGCCUCACACUCACUCCUGCACCUAGCACACAUUAGGGUGACCAGACAGCAAAUGUGAAAGAUGGGGGUGGGGGUAAUAGGAGCCUAUAUAAGAGACCCAAAAAUUGGGACUGUCCCUAUAAAAUUGGGACAUCUGGUCACCUAGCACAGAUCUUGCCCAUAUUGCAUAUUAUAUACAAAAUAGAGUUUUAAAUUAUUUCAAAUGGGUUGCACUAGGAUAGAAAAUACAGUGUUAGAGCCACGGAGAUUACACGUAAAAAAGAAAAAGAGAGAUUACGUCUGAGUAAAAAAAUAAGUUCUGUUUUCUAAAAAUGGUAACUCUCCUACAUAUCCCUUGCAAACUGGACACCAUGAAAUUAGGCCUGAAUAAAGACUGGGAGUGGAUGGGUCACUCCACAAACUAAUUUCCCCAUGCUAAUAUUUCCCCCUACUGUCACUCACAUCUUCUUGCCAACUGUUUGAAAUGGGCCACCCUGAUUACACUGGCCUCAUUACCACUACAAAAGUGAUUUUUUUCCCUCCCUUGGUAUUCUACUGUUGAGAAUAGCCCAAUUCCACUUUAACUGAAUUGUCUCGUUAGCACUGACACCCCCCGACAACUUGGGAAGGCAACUCCCCCGUCUUUUCAUGUACUGUGUAUAUAUACCUGCCUACUGUAUUUUCCACUCCAUGCAUCUGAUGAAGUGGGUUUUAGCCCACAAAAGCUUAUGCCCAACUAAAUGUUAGUCUCUAAGGUGUCACAAGUACUCCUCAUUGUUUUUGCUGAUAGACUAACAUGGCUACCACUCUGAAAAAUUAAAGAUUGUGUCUGGAGGGUGAAAUAAUGCGAGUGGCAUGAUAGUU